AACGAACGCUGGCGGCGCGCCUAAUACAUGCAAGUCGAGCGAGAAGACGUAGCAAUACGUUUGUAAAGCGGCGAACGGGUGAGGAAUACAUGGGUAACCUACCCUCGAGUGGGGAAUAACUAGCCGAAAGGUUAGCUAAUACCGCGUACGCUCCUUGGACUUCGGUUCAGGGAGGAAAGCGAUACCGUGGGUAUCGCGCUCUUGGUUGGGCUCAUGUCCUAUCAGCUUGUUGGUGAGGUAACGGCUCACCAAGGCUUCGACGGGUAGCUGGUCUGAGAGGACGAUCAGCCACACUGGCACUGCGACACGGGCCAGACUCCUACGGGAGGCAGCAGUAAGGAAUAUUGCGCAAUGGGCGAAAGCCUGACGCAGCGACGCCGCGUGGGGAUGAAGGUCUUCGGAUUGUAAACCCCUUUCGGGAGGGAAGAUGGAACGAGCAAUCGUUCGGACGGUACCUCCAGAAGCAGCCACGGCUAACUUCGUGCCAGCA
Molecule: ribosomal RNA, 490 nt
Filed under: uncultured bacterium
Lineage: Bacteria
Description: bacterial SSU rRNA
Rfam family: Bacterial small subunit ribosomal RNA
Source: RNAcentral